RNAcentral lists this transfer RNA (73 nucleotides) under Myotis brandtii (Brandt's bat). It matches the Rfam family "tRNA". From Rfam's summary of the family: Transfer RNA (tRNA) molecules are approximately 80 nucleotides in length. Lineage: Eukaryota; Metazoa; Chordata; Mammalia; Chiroptera; Vespertilionidae. The record is from Rfam by way of RNAcentral.
GCCUGUUUGGCUCAGUGGAUAGAGCGUUGGCCUGUGAAGUGAAGGGUCCUCGGUCCGAUUCUGGUAGGAGGCA